Triticum dicoccoides is the source of this 3519-nucleotide long non-coding RNA. RefSeq lists it as uncharacterized. The record is from RefSeq and is a predicted model, not a curated record. The transcript is spliced from 23 exons. NCBI's taxonomy places the organism in Eukaryota, Viridiplantae, Streptophyta, Magnoliopsida, Poales, Poaceae.
UGACUGUGUGUGUAUGGCUUGACUAUGUGUGUGAUUGUGUGUGAAUAUUGCAUUUGCUUGACGGUGUGGUUUGUAUAACUUGUGUUUUACAUGUCAGGAUUGAUUGUUGUUUGUUGAAUUUGAACAGAUCUAACACUAUUCUUUUUUCUAAACUUUUUUGUGAUUAUGUCUUAUGUGGAUACCAUACUCUUUUUUGUAUUAUUGUUGUCCAGUCACUGGAAUAACGCUUUUCUAAGUAUUUAAGGUACAACCAUGUAGAUCUAGACAUGAUGCUGAUGGGUUGGGUUUGCAUACAAUGCAGUAUGGACCAACAAAAUGGUCUCAUUGCAAGGUGGACAUAUAGGCAAGACAUGUCAAGAGAGAGAGAAGCUUGGACUAUUGAGGAGGAACAUGCACUGAUUAAUGCCCAUCGGGUAUAUGGGAAUAGAUGGGCAGAAAUAGCAAAAGUUCUUCCUAGAAGGAAUCGGGUACUUCUAUUUGUUCUUAGGUUCUUCUCACCUAUAGUUAAAGUCAAAGAAAACAAAACCAAGUGGAUUAUUGGAGUUACAAGAUACACAAAAUCAUCGGUCAUCUAAAUCUUCUUUUCUAAUAUGAUUGUUGGUGCUACUCAUGAGGCUAGCCACCGGCUUGGAAGCAAUGAGAGGCAAUCACUGUUGUCAAUUUGAAACGUAUAAUUUUUUAGGAACGAAGAUCUGAAUCACCCUCACGCCUCGAGAGAAAUCAGUUUAGUCAUUCAGUAUGGACCAACAAAAUGGUCUCAUUGCAAGGUGGACAUAUAGGCAAGAAAUGUCAAGAGAGAGAGAAGCUUGGACUAUUGAGGAGGAACAUGCACUGAUUAAUGCCCAUCGGGUAUAUGGAAAUAGAUGGGCAGAAAUAGCAAAAGUUCUUCCUAGAAGGAAUCGGGUACUUCUAUUUGUUCUUAGGUUCUUCUCACCUAUAGCUAAAGUCAAAGAAGACAAAACCAAGUGGAUUAUUGGAGUUACAAGAUAUACAAAAUCAUCGGUCAUCUAAAUCUUCUUUUCUAAUAUGAUUGUUGGUGCUGCUCAUGAGGCUAGCCACCGGCUUGGAAGCAAUGAGAGGCAAUCACUGUUGUCAACUUGAAACGUAUAAUUUUUUAGGAACGAAGAUCUGAAUCACCCUCACGCCUCGAGAGAAAUCAGUUUAGUCAUUCAGGUUCUGGUAUUUCUUUAUAGCUUUCUGAGUUUACUUCGGUCUUUCAUGUAUUUGCUUUCUGUUUGUGUCCCUAUCUAUUUAUGUUUCUUGUGUGCAAGCGCUCCAUUUUGUGUGUGUCUGACUUUGUGUGGCUUGACUCUCUUGUGUGUGUGGCUUGACUGUCUGUGUGUGUCACUGUGUGUUUGACUUUGUGUGAAUAUUGCAUUUGAUUGUGAUGCGUUACUGUGUGUUUAACUCUGUGUGUGUGAUUGUGUGAAUAUUGUGCAUUUGACUGAUGUGUGACUGUGUGAGUAUUGUAUUUUGAUAAUGAUUGUGUGUGGCUUGACUGUGUGUGUGGCUUGUCUGCUUUGCUGAAUGAUUGGUUGUUGUGGCUUAACACUGCCUCUGCCGGUCCCAAGCCCGGAUGUGAAAAUGUGGAGGGAGUCUGUUUCUUGUGUGCAAGUGCUACAUUGUGUGUGACUGUGUGUGUGAUGUGUCCGUAUCUAUGUCUGUUUCUUUUGUCUUGAUUGUGUGCAAGUGCUUGAUUGGGUGUGUGCUUGUGUGACCAUGCGUGUAUUGCAUUUGCUUGACGGUGUGCUUUGUAUAACUUGUGUUUUAUAUGUCAGGAUUGAUUGUUGCUUGUUGAAUUUGAACAGAUCUAACACUAUUCUUUUUUCUAAACUUUUUUGUGAUUAUGUCUUAUGUGGAUACCAUACUCUUUUUUGUAUUAUUGUUGUCCAGUCACUGGAAUAACGCUUUUCUAAGUAUUUAAGGUACAUCCAUGUAGAUCUAGACAUGAUGCUGAUGGGUUGGGUUUGCAUACAAUGCAGUAUGGACCAACAAAAUGGUCUCAAUGCAAGGUGGACAUAUAGGCAAGAAAUGUCAAGAGAGAGAGAAGCUUGGACAAUUGAGGAGGACAUGCACUGAUUAAUGCCCAUCGGGUAUAUGGGAAUAGAUGGGCAGAAAUAGCAAAAGUUCUUCCUAGAAGGAAUCGGGUACUUCUAUUUGUUCUUAGGUUCUUCUCACCUAUAGCUAAAGUCAAAGACGACAAAACCAAGUGGAUUAUUGGAGUUACAAGAUACACAAAAUCAUCGGUCAUCUAAAUCUUCUUUUCUAAUAUGACUUUUGGUGCUGCUCAUGAGGCUAGCCACCGGCUUGGAAGCGAUGAGAGGCAAUCACUGUUGUCAACUUGAAAUGUAUAAUUUUUUAGGAACGAAGAUCUGAAUCACCCUCCCACCUCGAGAGAAAUCAGUUUAAUCAUUCAGGUUCUGAUUUCUUUAUUCAUGUAUUUGCUUUCUGUUUGUGCCCCUAUCUAUUUCUAUUUCUUGUGUGCAAGCGCUCCAUUCUGUGUGUGUCCGACUUUGUGUGGCUUGACGCUCUUGUGUGUGGCUUCACUGUCAGUGUGUGUCACUGUGUGUUUGACUGUGUGUGAAUAUUGUAUUUGACUGUGAUGCGUUACUGUUUGUUUGACUCUGUGUGUGUGAUUGUGUGAAUAUUGUGCAUUUGACUGUGCUGUGUGAUUGUGUGAGUAUUGUAUUUUGACAAUGACUGUGUGUGGCUUGACUGUGUGUGUGUGGCUUGUAUGCUUUGCUGAAUGAUUGGUUGUUGUGGCUUAACACUGUCUCUGCCGGUCCCAAGCCCGGAUGUGAAAAUGUGGAGGGAGUCUAUUUCUUGUGUGCAAGUGCUACAUUGUGUGUGUGACUGUGUGUGUGAUGUGUGCGUAUCUAUCUCUGUUUCUUUUGUCUUGAUUGUGUGCAAGUGCUUGAUUGGGUGUGUGCUUGUGUGACCAUGCGUGUAUUGCAUUUGCUUCACGGUGUGGUUUGUAUAACUUGUGUUUUAUAUGUCAGGAUUGAUUGUUGUUUGUUGAAUUUGAACAGAUCUAACACUAUUCUUUUUUCUAAUCUUUUUUGUGAUUAUCUUAUGUGGAUACCAUACUCUUUUUUGUAUUAUUGUUGUCCAGUCACUGGAAUAACGCUUUUCUAAGUAUUUAAGGUACAACCAUGUAGAUCUAGACAUGACGCUGAUGGGUUGGGUUUGCAUACAAUGCAGUACGGACCAACAAAAUGGUCUCAUUGCAAGGUGGACAUAUAGGCAAGACAUGUCAAGAGAGAGAGAAGCUUGGACUAUGGAGGAGGAACAUGCACUGAUUAAUGCCCAUCGGAUAUAUGGGAAUAGAUGGGCAGAAAUAGCAAAAGUUCUUCCCUGAAGGAAUCGGGUACUUCUAUUUGUUCUUAGGUUCUUCUCACCUAUAGCUAAAGUCAAAGAAGACAAAACCAAGUGGAUUAUUGGAGUUACAAGAUACACAAAAUCAUCGGUCAACUAAAUCUUCUUUUCUAAUAUGACUGUUGGUGCUGCUCAUGAGGCAAG